GAUGAACGCUGGCGGCGUGCUUAACACAUGCAAGUCGAACGGUGAAGCAGAGCUUGCUCUGUGGAUCAGUGGCGAACGGGUGAGUAACACGUGAGCAACCUGCCCUUGACUCUGGGAUAAGCGCUGGAAACGGCGUCUAAUACCGGAUAUGAGCUGCGAUCGCAUGGUCAGCAGUUGGAAAGAUUUUUCGGUCUGGGAUGGGCUCACGGCCUAUCAGCUUGUUGGUGAGGUAAUGGCUCACCAAGGCGUCGACGGGUAGGGGGCGUGAGAGCGCGACCCCCAUGAAUGGCACUGCGAUACGGGCCAUACUCCUACGGGAGGCUGCAGUCGAGAAUCUUCCGCAAUGGGCGAAAGCCUGACGGAGCGACGUUACGUGAACGAAGAAGCCCUUCGGGGUGUAAAGUUCUUUUAUGUGGGAGGAAAACCGCAAGGUUAGACAGUACCACAUGAAUAAGAGGUUGCUAACUCUGUGCCAGCCGCCGCAGUAA
Molecule: ribosomal RNA, 488 nt
Filed under: uncultured bacterium
Lineage: Bacteria
Description: partial 16S ribosomal RNA
Rfam family: Bacterial small subunit ribosomal RNA
Source: RNAcentral